GCCUGAAAGAUGAAUACUGAUAGGACAGGACAAAAAAAUCUUAAUUGUUAUUUUAACACCUGAAAAUCUGAUUACAUGUUUAGACAUCUCAAAAUACAAACCAUAAGCACUUUAUGCAACAAUAACAAUAUAAUCACCAUAACACAAGUAUGUAGUUACAAAAAUUUGUAGCAACAGAUAAAAUUUCAAACAGGUAAGAAUUAUGAUAACAUAAAAUAUUUUUU
Non-coding RNA from Biomphalaria pfeifferi, 224 nucleotides. The record is from the annotation of a GenBank genome assembly. Lineage: Eukaryota; Metazoa; Mollusca; Gastropoda; Planorbidae.